This 493-nucleotide ribosomal RNA is filed under the name uncultured bacterium. RNAcentral describes it as "partial 16S ribosomal RNA". It matches the Rfam family "Bacterial small subunit ribosomal RNA", at positions 28 to 506 of the family's 1533-position model. The record is from RNAcentral.
GACGAACGCUGGCGGCGUGCUUAACACAUGCAAGUCGAACGGUGAAGCGCCUUCCUUUUUGGUGGGUGUGGAUGAGUGGCGAACGGGUGAGUAACACGUGAGUAACCUGCCCCCUUCUUCUGGAUAACCGCAUGAAAGUGUGGCUAAUACGGGAUAUUCUGGGUCUGUCGCAUGAUGGGUCUGGGAAAGAUAUUGUUUCGGUGGGGGAUGGGCUCGCGGCCUAUCAGCUUGUUGGUGGGGUGAUGGCCUACCAAGGCGGUGACGGGUAGCCGGCCUGAGAGGGUGGACGGUCACACUGGGACUGAGACACGGCCCAGACUCCUACGGGAGGCAGCAGUGGGGAAUAUUGCACAAUGGGCGCAAGCCUGAUGCAGCGACGCCGCGUGAGGGAUGGAGGCCUUCGGGUUGUGAACCUCUUUCGCCAGUGAAGCAGGCCUGCCUCGUUUGUGGGUGGGUUGACGGUAGCUGGAUAAGAAACGCCGGCUAACUACGU